AAGUCUGAUUUAUGUGGUGAGUGGACUUAAAAAAACUGCUGUAGUCUAAAAUCAAUUUUUCAGUAUUGAAAGCCUUUGAGCUUUGGUUUAGAUUUUUUAUUUUUGUUUGUUUUUAAUUUCCUGUUCAUUGCUCUCACCAUGCCUCCCUUUUUACACAGACCUAAAGGAUCAGACUGUGGCAUUGUAAAUGUCAACAUUCCAACAAGUGGGGCUGAGAUUGGAGGUGCCUUUGGAGGAGAAAAGCACACUGGUGGUGGCAGGGAGUCUGGCAGUGAUGCCUGGAAACAGUACAUGAGAAGGUCUACUUGUACUAUCAACUACAGUAAAGACCUUCCUCUGGCCCAAGGAAUCAAGUUUCAGUAAAGGUGUUUUAGAUGAACAUCCCUUAAUUUGAGGUGUUCCGGCAGCUGUUUUUGGAGAAGACAAAGAAAAUUAAAGUUUUCCCUGAAUAAAUGCAUUAUUAUGACUGUGACAGUGACUAAUCCCCCUAUGACCCCAAAGCCCUGAUUAAAUCAAGAGACUCCUUUUUUAAAAAUCAAAAUAAAAUUGUUACAACAUAGCCAUAGUUACUAAAA
RNAcentral lists this small RNA (575 nucleotides) under Pan troglodytes (chimpanzee). RNAcentral describes it as "retained intron". Lineage: Eukaryota; Metazoa; Chordata; Mammalia; Primates; Hominidae. The record is from RNAcentral.